This 254-nucleotide ribosomal RNA is filed under the name uncultured bacterium. RNAcentral's name for it is "partial 16S ribosomal RNA". It matches the Rfam family "Bacterial small subunit ribosomal RNA", at positions 524 to 776 of the family's 1533-position model. The record is from RNAcentral.
UACGUAGGUGGCAAGCGUUGUCCGGAUUUACUGGGCGUAAAGAGCGCGCAGGCGGUCGUUCAAGUCGCGUGUGAAAGCCCCCGGCUCAACUGGGGAGGGUCACGCGAUACUGAUCGACUCGAAGGCAGGAGAGGGUAGUGGAAUUCUCGGUGUAGUGGUGAAAUGCGUAGAUAUCGGGAGGAACACCAGUGGCGAAGGCGACUACCUGGCCUGUUUCUUGACGCUGAGGCGCGAAAGCUAGGGGAGCAAACGGG